AGUGGGGAAUAUUGGUCAAUGGGCGAAAGCCUGAACCAGCAAUGCCGCGUGAGUGAUGAAGGCCUUCGGGUUGUAAAGCUCUGUCAGUGGGAACGAAUAAGCCGGUUAAUACCCGGUGGUGACGGUACCCGCAAAGGAAGCACCGGCUAACUCUGUGCCAGCAGCCGCGGUAAUACAGAGGGUGCAAGCGUUGUUCGGAAUUACUGGGCGUAAAGCGCGUGUAGGCGGUCCAGCAAGUCGGGUGUGAAAUCCCUAGGCUUAACCUAGGAACUGCAUUCGAAACUAUUGGACUAGAGUAUCGGAGGGGAUGGCGGAAUUCCCGGUGUAGAGGUGAAAUUCGUAGAUAUCGGGAGGAACACCUGUGGCGAAGGCGGCCAUCUGGAAGAUUACUGACGCUGAGACGCGAAAGCGUGGGGAGCAAA
Molecule: ribosomal RNA, 422 nt
Filed under: uncultured Myxococcales bacterium
Lineage: Bacteria; Pseudomonadati; Myxococcota; Myxococcia; Myxococcales
Description: bacterial SSU rRNA
Rfam family: Bacterial small subunit ribosomal RNA
Source: RNAcentral